AAUCAGAACAUGACAUGUGACAAU
This 24-nucleotide microRNA is filed under the name Glycine max (soybean). RNAcentral describes it as "gma-miR1520m". The record is from miRBase by way of RNAcentral. Lineage: Eukaryota; Viridiplantae; Streptophyta; Magnoliopsida; Fabales; Fabaceae.